UCGCGGCUUAUCAGCUGGUGCGUGAGGUAACGGAUCACCAACGCUAUGACGGGUAGUAAGUCUGAGCGGAUGAUCAGCCACGAUGGGAGUGAGACACGGCCCAGAAUCUUACGGGAGGCAGCAGUAAGGAAUCUUCCACAAAGGGUCAAAGCCUGAUGGAGCAACACCGCGUGAUCGAGGAAGCCUUCUGGGGAUUAAAGAUUUUUUCUGGGAGAACAACUAUUACGGUAUCCUAGGAAUAAGCACCGUCUAACUCCGUUCCAGCAGCGUCGGUAAUACGGAGGGGGCAAGCGUUACCCGGAAUCAUUGGGCGAAAGCGUCCGCAGGCUGUUUGUUAAUUUGGAUGUUAAAUUUUGCAGCUCAACUGUAAAAGUACGUGUAAAACAGGCAAACUAGAGAUCUUCAGAGGGACGUGGAAUUUUGUGUGUAGGGGUAAAAUCUGUAGAUACACAGAGCAACCCCAAAACCGAAGGCAGCGUACUGGGCAGUUUCUGACCAUCAUGGAAGAAAGCCGGGGAGCCAACGGGAUUAGAUACCCCGGUAGUCCACGCCCAAACGAUGGAACUAGGUGUUGAGGGACUCGACCCCCUCAGCGCCGACGCUAACGCAUUAAGUAUCCCGCCUGGGGAGUAGGGA
This 636-nucleotide ribosomal RNA is filed under the name uncultured bacterium. Its description in RNAcentral is "bacterial SSU rRNA". It matches the Rfam family "Bacterial small subunit ribosomal RNA", at positions 231 to 886 of the family's 1533-position model. The record is from RNAcentral.